CGUAAAGCGUCUGUAAGUGGCUUUUCCGUCGUCAAAUCCCAGGGCUCAACCCUGGAUAGGGAGUGGAAACUACCAAGUUGGAGUAUGGUAGGUGCAGAAGGAAUUUCGGAUGGAGCGAUGAAACGCGUUGAGAUAAAAAAGAACACCAAUGACCAAAGCACUUUGUUGGGCCGACAUUGACACUGAGAGAUGAAAGCUAGGGGAGAAAAUUGGAUUAGAUACCCCAGAAGUCCUAGCCGUAAAUGAUGGAUACUAAGUGUUGUGCGUAUCAAACCACGCAGUGUUGUAGCUCAUGCAUUAAGUAUCCCGCCUGGGGAGUAUGUUCGCAAGAAUGAAACUCAAAGGAAUUAACGGAUGCCCGUAGAAGCGGUGGAGCAUGUAGUUCAAUUCAAUGCAAAGCAAAGAACAUUACCAGGGCUUGACAUGCCAUGAAUCCUCUCGAAAGAGAAGAGUGCCUCGGGAACGUGGGCACAAGUGGUGCAUGGCUAUCGUCAGCUCAUGUUGUAAGGUGUUGGGUUAAGUCCCGCAACGAGGGCAACCUUCGUAUUUAGUUGCCAACAUUGAGUUUGGAACCCCGAAUAGACUGUCAGUGAUAAGCCAAAGAAAGGUGAGGAUGAUGUCAAGUCAUCAUGCCCCGUAUGCCCUAGGCGACACAUGUGCUACAGUGACCUGGACAAAGGGUUGUGACCCCGCGAGGGCAAGCUAACCUUCAAACCCAGCCUCAGUUCAGAUUGCAAGCUGCAACUUGCCUGCAUGAAGCCAAAAUUGCUAGUAAACAUCAAUCAACCAUACGACGAUGAAUCCAUUCCCGCACCUUGUUCACACUAUGGGAGUUGGCCAUGCCCCAAGCGUUACCUUACUAGAACAAUGUAGCCGUCUAGAAGGGCGGUAGAUCACCUCCU
RNAcentral lists this ribosomal RNA (902 nucleotides) under Pinus taeda (loblolly pine). Its description in RNAcentral is "bacterial SSU rRNA". It matches the Rfam family "Bacterial small subunit ribosomal RNA", at positions 559 to 1531 of the family's 1533-position model. Lineage: Eukaryota; Viridiplantae; Streptophyta; Pinopsida; Pinales; Pinaceae. The record is from RNAcentral.